UUUGGGCACAGUGCCAUGAGCCUGUAGUCCCAGCUACUCGGGAGGCUGAGGUAGGAGGAUCACUUGAGCCCAGGAGUUUGAGGACAGCCUGGGCAAUAUAGUAGGACCCCAUCUCAA
Molecule: small RNA, 117 nt
Filed under: Marmota monax (woodchuck)
Lineage: Eukaryota; Metazoa; Chordata; Mammalia; Rodentia; Sciuridae
Source: RNAcentral